Vombatus ursinus (common wombat) is the source of this 1551-nucleotide long non-coding RNA. The record is from Ensembl. NCBI's taxonomy places the organism in Eukaryota, Metazoa, Chordata, Mammalia, Diprotodontia, Vombatidae.
GGCCAAACUGAGCCGGACCAGAUUGAAGAAGAAGCAGGCAGGGGGCUGGGUUAGUGACUGAAGUCUGAAUCUAUAUCUGAGUAGGGAGUCUGUUCCUCUAGCCUGGGGCUGGGACAGGGGUCGGGGGGUCUGUUUCUCUGAGCCUGGGACCAGAGCAAGGGCAAGGGCUCUGUUCUGAGCCUGAUUUGGGAAUGGGGCCAAGACUGCAGCCAGGGCUGGUCCAGGACUAGCUGAGUCCCGGACUCGGUCUAGUUCUGGAGCCGAGGCUGGCGUGGCUGGCUGCCCGCAGCGGUACCGUCCUGCAGCGGUACCGGUAGUGUAGUGUAGUGUAGUGUAGUGUAGUGUAGUGUAGUGCAGUAAGCGGGCCAAGAUGGCUCUACCAGAACCUGUGGAGUCCAGGGAGCCCAAGGUACCCAGGGUCACGAGGAGAAGGGAGAAACGGGGAGGAGGCGCCCUGGACUCGGCCGCCUUGGACUGACCAGUGCUGUAGGUGCUGGGGGAGGGGAAGGAGAGAAAGGGCUGCAGGCGGGCGUCGUUGUGCCAGGGCAGGAAGGGGCGGAGUUGGGCUCGGGGGGAGUACCGCUCCCAGACUCGGAUGAAACUAGUUGCCCGUAGCCAGGGUGGCAUCAGAGGAAGGAGGCAGACUCUGAACUGCGCUGGGGCUAAGUCGUGCGCAGAAAGACUGACUCGGUCCGACCAGGCUGUCCUGCAGGCUGAGAAUGCCAAGAACCAUGUGGGUCUUCCUCCCUGUCCUGCUGAGCACCCUGCUUUGUGUACAGCCAGCUCACAGUCUCCGUUGCUAUAACUGUACAGCGGCAACGAAAUCCAGUCAAUGCAACUCUGUUGAGUGCUCCGUGUCAGAAACUCGCUGUGGGAGUAUUAAAGUUGCAGAUAAAGAUGAUGGGGAAAUGGAGGCACACUUGACCUGCAUACUGAUGAAAGGCUGACCUCAACAAAUGGUUGUUUGGCAAAAAUGGGAAAAGGUGAUAAAAAGGACUCGUGUCGUUUUGCGUGAACUCUCAGUAUAGGGGGCAAGGAUGAUUGGGAAUCAAGUUUAAAAGUGGAGAGGAAAGGCAAAUGAGGAGGCACCCGGUGGGUUAGCAGAGGAACCAGAGAUGCAGGCCGUGGACCUUGCUCAGCAUACUAUCAUAAGAUUAAAGAUGGAAACAGCAUUGUAGGUCAGCUGUUCAAUCCUUUGUUUUGCAAAGGAGAAGUGACUUUCUUAAGGUCCCUAAGGUAAGGCUCAGGCUCCCAGUUUAUAAAUCUGGCGCUCUUUUCAGUGCUCCAAGAUCUAGGCAUAGAGUGAAACUGAAGGAUAUCUACCUGGAUGUUACCCUGAUGUUUACAACCUAUUCCCAACAAGGGAAGGUCUCCAGUAUUUUGGGUGAAGACUUGAUGGAGGAAGUAAGGAAGGAAACGAGACUUUGUUAGUCACUUACUUGUGCCAGGCACACAUAUUUUAUUUGAUUCUGAGAAGUAGCUGUUAUUAUCCCCAUUUUUUUUUUUCACUAUUGAGCAAACUAAGGCAAAUAAAGGUUAAAUGACUUUCCA